GGCCUCAAUCCCAAAGAGGCGAGGCUGCCUUGGCCCCUGUCGCCUCUGGACACCUCCGUGGGUCGAGGACGUACAAAAUGGUCUCCAAAAAAGCAUGUGACCUUGACAAGCACUGUGGUGUGUUGGACCCCGAGAGAAAGAAAGUUUGUACUCGACUUUUGACUUGCAAUAUUCAUUCCAUUCAUCAGCGCAGGAAGGUGCAAGGUAGGAGUAAAAACUUUGACCAGCUGGUGGCAGAGCUGAAG
This is a long non-coding RNA of Sinocyclocheilus grahami, 245 nucleotides long. RefSeq lists it as uncharacterized. The transcript has 3 exons. The record is from RefSeq and is a predicted model, not a curated record. NCBI's taxonomy places the organism in Eukaryota, Metazoa, Chordata, Actinopteri, Cypriniformes, Cyprinidae.